Molecule: ribosomal RNA, 477 nt
Filed under: Kevanacla orientalis
Lineage: Eukaryota; Metazoa; Arthropoda; Insecta; Orthoptera; Phalangopsidae
Description: eukaryotic LSU rRNA
Rfam family: Eukaryotic large subunit ribosomal RNA
Source: RNAcentral
GUUUCGUGUGAACAGCCGUUGCACACGAGUCMGUCGAUCCUAAGUCCUAGGGGAAACCCGACGCAUCGGGCCGGAGGCCGGGCCGGACGAAAGGGAAUCCGGUUCCCAUUCCGGAACCCGGUCGCGGAACCGUCUCACGUCGGGCCCCCCGGCCCCGCGCCGCGGCGGCGGGGGGGAAGCUCGUCGGGGCGACCCAAAAUGACCCGGAGAAGCCGUCGGGAGGUCGGGGAAGAGUUUUCUUUUCUGUUUGAGCGUUCGGGUUCCCUGGAAUCGCCUAGAGCGGAGAGAGGGAAUGGAGCGCGUAGAGCACCGCAGUUGCGGCGGUGUCCCGACACGCCCCUCGGACCGUGAAAAUCCGGGGACGGGCCACGUGGAGGUCUCGCGCCGGUUCGUACCCAUAUCCGCAGCAGGUCUCCAAGGUGAAGAGCCUCUAGUCGAUGGACUAAUGUAGGUAAGGGAAGUCGGCAAACCGGAUCC